Molecule: ribosomal RNA, 586 nt
Filed under: uncultured bacterium
Lineage: Bacteria
Description: partial 16S ribosomal RNA
Rfam family: Bacterial small subunit ribosomal RNA
Source: RNAcentral
UGGGGAAUUUUGGACAAUGGGCGAAAGCCUGAUCCAGCAAUGCCGCGUGUGUGAAGAAGGCCUUCGGGUUGUAAAGCACUUUUGUCCGGAAAGAAAUCCUUGGCUCUAAUACAGUCGGGGGAUGACGGUACCGGAAGAAUAAGCACCGGCUAACUACGUGCCAGCAGCCGCGGUAAUACGUAGGGUGCAAGCGUUAAUCGGAAUUACUGGGCGUAAAGCGUGCGCAGGCGGUUUGCCAAGACCGAUGUGAAAUCCCCGGGCUCAACCUGGGAACUGCAUUGGUGACUGGCAGGCUAGAGUAUGGCAGAGGGGGGUAGAAUUCCACGUGUAGCAGUGAAAUGCGUAGAGAUGUGGAGGAAUACCGAUGGCGAAGGCAGCCCCCUGGGCCAAUACUGACGCUCAUGCACGAAAGCGUGGGGAGCAAACAGGAUUAGAUACCCUGGUAGUCCACGCCCUAAAACGAUGUCAACUAGUUGUUGGGGAUUCAUUUCCUUAGUAACGUAGCUAACGCGUGAAGUUGACCGCCUGGGGAGUACGGUCGCAAGAUUAAAACUCAAAGGAAUUGACGGGGUCAUAGCUGUUUCCU